This 253-nucleotide ribosomal RNA is filed under the name uncultured bacterium. RNAcentral describes it as "partial 16S ribosomal RNA". It matches the Rfam family "Bacterial small subunit ribosomal RNA", at positions 524 to 776 of the family's 1533-position model. The record is from RNAcentral.
UACGGAGGGUGCAAGCGUUAAUCGGAAUUACUGGGCGUAAAGCGCGCGUAGGCGGUUUUUUAAGUCGGAUGUGAAAGCCCCGGGCUCAACCNGGGAACUGCAUCCGAUACUGGAAGANUAGAAUGCGGGAGAGGGAGGNAGAAUUCCAUGUGUANCAGUGAAAUGCGUAGAUAUAUGGAGGAAUACCAGUGGCGAAGGCGGCCUCCUGGCUCGACAUUGACGCUGAGGUGCGAAAGCGUGGGGAGCAAACUCC